This 253-nucleotide ribosomal RNA is filed under the name uncultured bacterium. RNAcentral's name for it is "partial 16S ribosomal RNA". It matches the Rfam family "Bacterial small subunit ribosomal RNA", at positions 524 to 776 of the family's 1533-position model. The record is from RNAcentral.
UACAGAGGGGGCAAGCGUUGUUCGGAAUUACUGGGCGUAAAGCGCGCGUAGGCGGCUUUGCAAGUCGGGUGUGAAAUCCCCGGGCUCAACCCGGGAACUGCGUCCGAUACUGGCAGGCUUGAAUUCGGGAGAGGGAUGCGGAAUUCCAGGUGUAGCGGUGAAAUGCGUAGAUAUCUGGAGGAACACCGGUGGCGAAGGCGGCAUCCUGGACCGGUAUUGACACUGAGGCGCGAAAGCCAGGGGAGCAAACGGG